UGGGGAAUUUUUGACAAUGGGGGAAACCCUGAUCCAGCCAUCCCGCGUGUGCGAUGAAGGCCUUCGGGUUGUAAAGCACUUUUGGCAGGAAAGAAACGUCAUGGGUUAAUACCCUGUGAAACUGACGGUACCUGCAGAAUAAGCACCGGCUAACUACGUGCCAGCAGCCGCGGUAAUACGUAGGGUGCAAGCGUUAAUCGGAAUUACUGGGCGUAAAGCGUGCGCAGGCGGUUCGGAAAGAAAGAUGUGAAAUCCCAGAGCUCAACUUUGGAACUGCAUUUUUAACUACCGGGCUAGAGUGUGUCAGAGGGAGGUGGAAUUCCGCGUGUAGCAGUAAAAUGCGUAGAUAUGCGGAGGAACACCGAUGGCGAAGGCAGCCUCCUGGGAUAACACUGACGCUCAUGCACGAAAGCGUGGGGAGCAAACAGG
Molecule: ribosomal RNA, 429 nt
Filed under: Acidobacteriota bacterium
Lineage: Bacteria; Pseudomonadati; Acidobacteriota
Description: Acidobacteria bacterium partial 16S ribosomal RNA
Rfam family: Bacterial small subunit ribosomal RNA
Source: RNAcentral